Long non-coding RNA from Felis catus (domestic cat), 1379 nucleotides. RefSeq lists it as uncharacterized. The transcript has 5 exons. NCBI's taxonomy places the organism in Eukaryota, Metazoa, Chordata, Mammalia, Carnivora, Felidae. The record is from RefSeq and is a predicted model, not a curated record.
UUCUUUAAGCACUUGAGGAAAGCAUUCCUUUUACUCCAGCCAUCAAAAAUAAACAUAAGAGCGAGCACAUUCUCCGGACCUCGUCCAGGAAUAGAGCUUGCAGGAUCAAGUUCACACCUUCUGUGAUUAGGCCCCCUCUGCAGCUCCAGCCACUUCUCCUUCCGGUUUACCUUGCAUGCCUGUACCUCUACCCACGGCUUCAUCCGGCCAGGCUGAAGAACCGGCAAUAGAGGUCCGAUCUAAGCCUGGAAAUACAAUCCCAUAUGUGGAGCAGUGGAAAUUUUCAAAUUUGAGCUGCAUCGGGGAAACCAUUCACGGUCUCGUUGGCAUCAUCCUUGCAGGAAAGUACAAUUCCCACAUCUUCCUCUAGGAGUCAGCCAGGGACCAUCGCCGAAUUAAAGGAACUCAAGGAAGCUGGGAGGAGCCACAAACACGAAUUUCCAUCAGCUUGUGAGUUGAACAUUUAUUGCCAUCAGGCUGCCUUCUAGGACUUGGAUGACCUUACAUUUUAUUGUCUGUGGACCUCGGCACCUUACCUUAGCUGGGAUUUUUGCCGCAUGGUUCUCCAGGAUCAGUCUCUUCAGGUGCAGAACCCAGAGGCGCUUGUCUUGCUGGGAUUUGGCCUAGCGGAAGGAAAUGCGGACGGUCAGACGACUCACGUCUCCACCACGAACGAGAUUCAGACACUCCCAUAACCCUCUGACGAGACGGGAAACACACCGUGUGGGCCAGAAGGCUCUGGAAAGGCCGGCUGGCCCACGGCGCCCAUCGUUUACAAGAGCGAGCCCUGCAGGGAGGGGAGGCCUCUGCUGUUACCUGAACCGUGUGCUGCAGCUUGGGGUUCUUAUAGUGGAAGACGCUGAAGCUGAGAGGCUCCUUUGGUAUCACUUCCACGAGCAUGAGGUUGCCACACUGAGCAGGAGAGCAGAGAGAGGGUGAGGUGCACUUGGAGAGAAUGGGACGAGCGGCCGAAGCCCUUGCCCAUGGUCAACAUUCAGACCUACCAGGAUAUGCGCUUUGUACGUGAACGUAUCGUCUCUCUUCUUUGUGAUCAGAAGCAGCUUGUCAAAGAGGAAGAGCGUCCGCUCAUUCUUGGCCCGCUGGAUGCGAAAGGUCCCUUCGAGCACCAGUUCCCCAUAGCUGGUCAGGUCUGGCCCCUUCCAGUUAGUGAGCAGACUCUGUAUCUCCUGAAAAAGUGACCAUUCUGUGUGAUUAAACAAGAGAUGGGAAGCCAUGGAAGAGAGGGAAAGGUCUCCCAUUUGCUGAAUCUCAAGAGUGGUGUCUGAAUAUUCUAUGACAGGGCCUAAUGGGUCUAUUUGGUAUCCAAUGGUGUCUAAUGAUCCGUGACCCAAAUCCACAUUAAAAAAAAGAUUUUUUUU